GAUGAACGCUGGCGGCGUGCCUAAUACAUGCAAGUCGAGCGAACAGACGAGGAGCUUGCUCCUCUGACGUUAGCGGCGGACGGGUGAGUAACACGUGGAUAACCUACCUAUAAGACUGGGAUAACUUCGGGAAACCGGAGCUAAUACCGGAUAAUAUAUUGAACCGCAUGGUUCAAUAGUGAAAGACGGUUUUGCUGUCACUUAUAGAUGGAUCCGCGCCGCAUUAGCUAGUUGGUAAGGUAACGGCUUACCAAGGCGACGAUGCGUAGCCGACCUGAGAGGGUGAUCGGCCACACUGGAACUGAGACACGGUCCAGACUCCUACGGGAGGCAGCAGUAGGGAAUCUUCGGCAAUGGGCGAAAGCUUGACGGAGCAACGCCGCGUGAGUGAUGAAGGUCUUCGGAUCGUAAAACUCUGUUAUUAGGGAAGAACAAAUGUGUAAGUAACUAUGCACGUCUUGACGGUACCUAAUCAGAAAGCCACGGCUAACUACGUG
RNAcentral lists this ribosomal RNA (497 nucleotides) under uncultured bacterium. RNAcentral describes it as "partial 16S ribosomal RNA". It matches the Rfam family "Bacterial small subunit ribosomal RNA", at positions 28 to 507 of the family's 1533-position model. The record is from RNAcentral.